RNAcentral lists this unclassified non-coding RNA (20 nucleotides) under Chlamydomonas reinhardtii. Its description in RNAcentral is "small RNA Cre_4171". The record is from RNAcentral. Lineage: Eukaryota; Viridiplantae; Chlorophyta; Chlorophyceae; Chlamydomonadales; Chlamydomonadaceae.
UUUGUUCAAAAGCGUGCGUG